AUUCCUACGGGAGGCAGCAGUGGGGAAUAUUGGACAAUGGGGGGAACCCUGAUCCAGCCAUGCCGCGUGUGUGAAGAAGGCCUUAUGGUUGUAAAGCACUUUAAGCGAGGAGGAGGCUACUGAGACUAAUACUCUUGGAUAGUGGACGUUACUCGCAGAAUAAGCACCGGCUAACUCUGUGCCAGCAGCCGCGGUAAUACAGAGGGUGCGAGCGUUAAUCGGAUUUACUGGGCGUAAAGCGUGCGUAGGCGGCUUUUUAAGUCGGAUGUGAAAUCCCCGAGCUUAACUUGGGAAUUGCAUUCGAUACUGGGAAGCUAGAGUAUGGGAGAGGAUGGUAGAAUUCCAGGUGUAGCGGUGAAAUGCGUAGAGAUCUGGAGGAAUACCGAUGGCGAAGGCAGCCAUCUGGCCUAAUACUGACGCUGAGGUACGAAAGCAUGGGGAGCAAACAGGAUUAGAUACCCUGGUAGUCCACGCCGUAAACGAUGAAUGCCAGACGUCGGGCAGCAUGCUGUUCGGUGUCACACCUAACGGAUUAAGCAUUCCGCCUGGGGAGUACGGUCGCAAGAUUAAAACUCAAAGGAAUUGACGGAAU
RNAcentral lists this ribosomal RNA (592 nucleotides) under uncultured bacterium. Its description in RNAcentral is "bacterial SSU rRNA". It matches the Rfam family "Bacterial small subunit ribosomal RNA", at positions 335 to 919 of the family's 1533-position model. The record is from RNAcentral.